Long non-coding RNA from Labeo rohita (rohu), 811 nucleotides. RefSeq lists it as uncharacterized. The transcript is spliced from 4 exons. The record is from RefSeq and is a predicted model, not a curated record. NCBI's taxonomy places the organism in Eukaryota, Metazoa, Chordata, Actinopteri, Cypriniformes, Cyprinidae.
GUCAAGAGUCAAGUAGAAUCCAGAUCACGUUCACUAUUUUGAAGAGCUGCUUGAACAUUCAAAAAAGAUUUAGUUGUAAAGUCUGCUUACUACACACUACAAAACACCCCCAACAAUGAACUGUCAACACUGUGGGGGCAGAGUGAGGAGAAGGGACGGCAGGCAUGGAGGACAUCAUAAUGAUAUGAUGGCUGUUUUUCAGAACUUUGAACCUUCCCUUCCAAUAAAUGGCGAGGUGACUCGCUGUUACAGUUUAGGGGGUGGGCUUUACGGUCUUUAUAAAGUGGUCCUGGAGAAUGGCGAAGUUGUUUACACUAAACAAAGGAUCUAUUUUGGACAUCAUUAAGAUCUGAUGCACAAUACCCCAGAUCAACUGUUUUACUCAGUUAUUGCUUUGUCUCCAAUUUCAGUGUUUCUAUUUACUUUAAUUUGUUAUCACUAGUACAGUUGCUGUGAUUCUGUCGUAUAUAAAAUAUUUGUCUCAUAUAUUAUCAACUGAAAUAAAACAAAAUACUUGUUUGGGUUGCUAUGCUAUAUGCUGUUUAGUCUCCUUUUUGUUCCACUUUUGUUUUCCUGUUGUUGUUUUUUUGUGGAUUUGCUGGAAGCUUGUGUAUCUUGUGUAUCUCAUUAUUAUUACUGACAUCAUCAGUGUACAGAAACUUUGACAUGAAAUGAUACAUAUUCAUGUCAUGGAACUAAUAUAUACAGUAGAAUUAAUAAAAUAUACAUACAUACAUAGAGGUAAAGAAUAACAGUGUGUAUUUUUUUAGGGCUGUCAAACAAUUAAUCACGAGUAAUCGCAUACAAAAUA